ACUCCUACGGGAGGCAGCAGUGGGGAAUUUUGGACAAUGGGCGAAAGCCUGAUCCAGCAAUGCCGCGUGAGUGAAGAAGGCCUUCGGGUUGUAAAGCUCUUUUGUCAGGGAAGAAACGGUGAGAGCUAAUAUCUUUUGCUAAUGACGGUACCUGAAGAAUAAGCACCGGCUAACUACGUGCCAGCAGCCGCGGUAAUACGUAGGGUGCAAGCGUUAAUCGGAAUUACUGGGCGUAAAGCGUGCGCAGGCGGUUUUGUAAGUCUGAUGUGAAAUCCCCGGGCUCAACCUGGGAAUUGCAUUGGAGACUGCAAGGCUAGAAUCUGGCAGAGGGGGGUAGAAUUCCACGUGUAGCAGUGAAAUGCGUAGAUAUGUGGAGGAACACCGAUGGCGAAGGCAGCCCCCUGGGUCAAGAUUGACGCUCAUGCACGAAAGCGUGGGGAGCAAACAGGAUUAGAUACCCGAGUAGUCCC
This 470-nucleotide ribosomal RNA is filed under the name uncultured organism. RNAcentral describes it as "partial 16S ribosomal RNA". It matches the Rfam family "Bacterial small subunit ribosomal RNA", at positions 335 to 797 of the family's 1533-position model. The record is from RNAcentral.